GAGCAUGAGAGGGUCCUGGAACUGUUAACGAUGGCUGGGGUUUCUACUUCUUGCUUAACUCUCUCUUCCAGAAGCAAGUUCCGGACUCAUCAUGCGAGAAACAUCCCAGGGAAAACUAAUUGUUGGAGAAAGCUUGGAAUUAGAGCUGAAGUGAAUUAUGUGAAUGCAGAAGAAGCAAAGAAACUCGUAGCAGCUGAAGGAUAUGUUGUACUGGAUGUGCGGGACAUAACUCAAUAUGAACGAGCUCAUAUAAAAUCAUGUUAUCACGUGCCUCUUUUCAUUGAAAACCAAGACAAUGAUUUGGGCACUAUCAUAAAAAGGACUGUGCACAACAAUUUUUCGGGUUUGUUCUUUGGAUUGCCAUUUACGAAGCCCAAUCCUGAAUUUGUAGAAUCUGUAAAGAGCCAGUUUUCACCUGACAGUAAACUGUUACUUGUAUGCCAGGAAGGGUUAAGGUUAGUUAUUUAUUUACCUCUGAUUUUACCUAACUGUUUUUCCAAUUUGAUAUCUUGAGAAAGUCUAAUAUUAAUGAGUAACUUAAGAGGCUAAUCCAUGGAAAUAUUAGUUUCAUGUACUUGAAUAUUUCCACAUAUUUAGGAUGCCAUUUUGAGGGACUACGAAAUUCAGAACAGUAAUGAUAUACUCAAGUAGAACUUUUGUUCUUGGUUUCUUUCUGUGUAGCAUCUAAAUUUAUUGCCGGUUCUAGCAGAAUGUGAUUAGAAGUGUUGAAAUUCUUAGCCCAAGAUUAGUAUGUGCUAGAAUGUAACUUGAUCUCCCUUAAAAAAAAUGUUCAAAGUGCAGAUUAUGAUGCAUUUUCUUGAAAAAGUAAUGAUAAAGUAGAAACAUUUGAUGCACGUGGGAGCUUGAUUUGCAGAAAUUAAAUGUUUGAAAUUCAAGUUUACACAAUGUAGCAAGAUGGCUUGAAUUCCACAGACAAGGUGAAAAAGAGUAGAGAGUUGUUUGUUGAGUGUCUUUAUCAUGGUUGUAGCAUGUAAAGUGGGGUCUGAUCAGUGACUCAGAUGAUCUUCCCUGCUAUUAUGACCUUAGCACAUCCUAUCUACAAUCGUAGAGUUUUGGUUUUUGGAUUGUAUUGGUUUUAUUUCCUUAUUUACCCAAAUUAUCUUAUAUAAAAUCCUUUUACCUUGGCUUUGAGACCACUUGACAGGAAUGUGUUUACUUUCAAUGUAUCUAGGUCUACAGCAGCAGCCAAUAAAUUAGAGCAAGCUGGUUUCCAAAACAUAGCAUGCAUAACAUCAGGGCUUCAAUCUGUGAAACCAGGUUAAAUUUUCCUUUUUUCCAAACCUCUUUUUUUUAUAUAUAUACAAGUUUUGAAGGCAGGAAAAGUAAGAGAAGCAAAAGGGUUUUGUUUCUGCAGGAACAUUUGAUUCUGAAGGCUCCACAGAGUUACAAAACGCUGGCAAAGCUGGUUUGAUCACUAUUCAAGGGAAGAUAUCAGCUGUACUUGGAACAGUACUUAUCUGUGCAUAUUUAUUCAUCACCUUCUUCCCAGAGCAGGCAGAGAAGCUGUUUCAACUGGCCCCAGCUAGUUAAAUCCCACGUUUGUGCAUUUAUUAUGGUUGAAAAUACAUAGGUGCUCAAAAACUACCUUCGUAAGAUCCGAGCUAGAGAGGAGAGAGAGGGAGGGAUGUUUGUGGCAAUCUGUAAGCAAUCAUAUGCAGAUUUUACUCUUCAUUUGAGUACAUCAAAUUUCUUUAUGCAAUCAGAUUUUUUAAUUAUAGACACUUAUUUAUCAAAAACAGCUUUAUUCGUAUGGUUUUAUAAUGCAAAAUGGC
Molecule: unclassified non-coding RNA, 1793 nt
Filed under: Hevea brasiliensis (rubber tree)
Lineage: Eukaryota; Viridiplantae; Streptophyta; Magnoliopsida; Malpighiales; Euphorbiaceae
Source: RNAcentral